This 668-nucleotide ribosomal RNA is filed under the name uncultured Micrococcineae bacterium. RNAcentral's name for it is "bacterial SSU rRNA". It matches the Rfam family "Bacterial small subunit ribosomal RNA", at positions 97 to 779 of the family's 1533-position model. Lineage: Bacteria; Bacillati; Actinomycetota; Actinomycetes; Micrococcales. The record is from RNAcentral.
GGCGAACGGGUGAGCAACACGUGAGAAACCUGCCUUUCAUUCUGGGAUAACACCGGGAAACCGGUGCUAAUACCGGAUACUCCGUCUUGGCGGCAUCGCCGAGCCGGGAAAAAAUUUUGAUGAAAGAUGGUCUCGCGGCCUAUCAGCUAGUUGGUGAGGUAAAGGCUCACCAAGGCGACGACGGGUAGCCGGCCUGAGAGGGCGACCGGCCACACUGGGACUGAGACACGGCCCAGACUCCUACGGGAGGCAGCAGUAGGGAAUAUUGGGCAAUGGGCGCAAGCCUGACCCAGCGACGCCGCGUGAGGGAUGAAGGUCUUCGGAUUGUAAACCUCUUUCAGUAGGGAAGAAGCGAAAGUGACGGUACCUAAAGAAGAAGCACCGGCUAACUAUGUGCCAGCAGCCGCGGUAAUACAUAGGGUGCAAGCGUUGUCCGGAAUUAUUGGGCGUAAAGAGCUCGUAGGUUGUUUGUCGCGUCGAUUGUGAAAAUCUGAGGCUCAACCUCAGACCUGCAGUCGAUACGGGCAAACUAGAGUGUGGUAGGGGAGACUGGAAUUCCUGGUGUAGCGGUGGAAUGCGCAGAUAUCAGGAGGAACACCAAUGGCGAAGGCAGGUCUCUGGGCCAUAACUGACACUGAGGAGCGAAAGUGCGGGGAGCGAACAGGAUU